CUACGUGCCAGCAGCCGCGGUAAUACGUAUGUCGCGAGCGUUAUCCGGAAUUAUUGGGCAUAAAGGGCAUCUAGGCGGCCGGAUAAGUCUGGGGUGAAAACUUGCGGCUCAACCGCAAGCCUGCCCUGGAAACUAUGCGGCUAGAGUACUGGAGAGGUGGACGGAACUGCACGAGUAGAGGUGAAAUUCGUAGAUAUGUGCAGGAAUGCCGAUGAUGAAGAUAGUUCACUGGACGGUAACUGACGCUGAAGUGCGAAAGCUAGGGGAGCAAACAGGAUUAGAUACCCUGGUAGUCCUAGCUGUAAACGAUGAUUACUGGGUGUGGGCAUGAAGAGUGUCCGUGCCGAAGCUAAUGCGAUAAGUAAUCCGCCUGGGGAGUACGGCCGCAAGGCUGAAACUCAAAGGAAUUGACGGGGACCCGCACAAGCGGUGGAGUAUGUGGUUUAAUUCGACGCAACGCGAAGAACCUUACCAGGUCUUGACAU
This 485-nucleotide ribosomal RNA is filed under the name uncultured bacterium. Its description in RNAcentral is "bacterial SSU rRNA". It matches the Rfam family "Bacterial small subunit ribosomal RNA", at positions 501 to 987 of the family's 1533-position model. The record is from RNAcentral.